This 74-nucleotide transfer RNA is filed under the name Perkinsus olseni. RNAcentral describes it as "tRNA-Ile". It matches the Rfam family "tRNA". Rfam says of the family: Transfer RNA (tRNA) molecules are approximately 80 nucleotides in length. Their secondary structure includes four short double-helical elements and three loops (D, anti-codon, and T loops). Lineage: Eukaryota; Perkinsozoa; Perkinsida; Perkinsidae. The record is from RNAcentral.
GGUUGUUUAGCUCAGUCGGUUAGAGCAUCGUGCUAAUAACGCGAGGGUCGCAGGUUCGAGCCCUGCAUCGACCA